GGUACGACAUUGAAGGUAAACGAAUCCAAAAGGAUGGCACAAACACAAUCGACGACUUUAUUGAAUUGAAAAGCGACCCCAAUGCAUGGAGAAAAAUAAAAGAUAAAAAAAACAACAGAGUAAUUGAAUUAACAGACAGUGAUUUACAAAUUAUAAAAAGUAUUCGAGAAAAUAAAAUAGCAAAAUAUAAUAGUAACACUGAAUAUAUUUAUGAAAAUGAUAAAGAUGAAUAUAAAAAGGAAGGUAUAUCAAAGAUUGAUGAAAAAAACGAAAGAAAAGCGUUAUAAAAAGAUGUUAAAUAAUUUGUUUAUAAAAUUACAAAAACAUGCAAAAAAUAAAAAAGAUAGUACAAAACAAAAUGAAAAUUAUGAGAAACUAUAUGAUUUAUGGCGUAAUAAAAUUUAUAAUAUUUCUCUAAAAUCAGAAGAAAUGAAUUUACCAUUUUUAUUACCAGGACAUAAAUUAAGUUAUAAUCCACCAACUGAAUUAAUAAAUAAUGAUUCUGAAAUAAAAUCGAAAAACAAUAUAGAUAUAGUUAAAAAUUAUGAAUAUAUUUGUAAUUUAGAAUCGUAUGAUAAAACUUAUUUUGAAUUAUACCAAAGAUGUUUAGAUUUAUUUUUAUGUUCAAGAACAAUUAAAAAAGUUUUACAUAUAAAUAAAGAAGACUUAUUACCAAAAUUAGAAUCUACCAAAUCGUUAAGACCAUAUCCUCAGUAUAGUUUUAUCAAGUAUGUUAUAAAUAAUGAAGAAGAAACAGAAGAUAAAAAAAAACUAUUAUACAUAAUAAUAACAUUGAUAUAAAUGAACAAGACCAUUUAUUAUAUAUGAUUCAUUUUAAUAAAUUGUAUAUAUUUGAUAUUUUGUCUUCUUACAUUUUAGUAGUAAUAGAUUUGACUUAUUAUUAUAAUUUUGUAUUAACAAAUAAUAAAAAAAAAGAAGAAAAAAAAAAAAAAAAAUAUAUAUAUAAAUUUGAUAAUAUAAUGAUAAAAGUAAAUAAGUUAUAUUCUAUCGUUGCUAUAUGUUGUAACGAUUAUAUAUUUUUAUUUCAUUAUGGAGAUUAUGUACCUGCAAUUAAGGGAAUUGCAGAAAAUGUGAUAAAUAUCCAUUCUAAUGGCAAUGAAAACAUAAAUAAAAGAAGAAAACAUGUUGUGGGUAUGGCUGAUUUUGAAAAUACGGACUUGAAUGAUGAUAAAGUGGUUUCUUCGGGAGAUAUAAGUGAUAAAGAACACCUUGCUGUAGGUAGCAGCAAGUUAGAUAAUCAGGGUAUAGUGGAUGUACAAAAUGGUGAUGAUGAUGGUGAAGAUGGUGAAGAUGGUGAAGAUGGUGAAGAUGGUGAUGAUGGUGAUGAUAUAGAUAGUAACAAAGAAAGUGAUUUUCCUAAAAAAAAAAUAGUCGAACUAAGUAGAGAAAUUAGUUAUUCCAAAACGAAAUCAUUAAUUGGUAUAUUUAACCAGAAAUUCAAAAAAUCAGAUAAAUUUAUUUAUUCUCCUGACGUAGAUGUAAAAUGGUUCAACAUUAAACCUAACGACCCUCGAAUAAAAUAUUGCGUAGCUAUAAAACACGAAGGGAAGAUUAAGCAUUUCACAUGGAACACAAAUGGGAAUUACUUGUCAGUGACAUGUUUACGAAAGAUAGGACAGUAUCACAUCUGUUAUUUGCAUCAUUUAAAAAACUAUGAAGUCUAUGAAAUUAAUAAAGAAAUACAUAGCAAAAAGAGGGGAUGUCAUUCAAACUAUGUUUUACCCAUGUCGUCCAUAUUAUGUAGUUGCCUUUGAAAACAUUAUAAAAAUAUACGACCUCAAAGCUUCGUCUGUAAAAAAACGAAUUAUAAAAAAACUGAAAGGAGUAAAAAACAUAACAUGUGUUGAUGUACAUAAGAACGAAAGCUAUAUAUUAGCAUCAAAUGAUAAAGGAGAUGUUUACAUUUUUGACUUAGAUUUAUCUUCUACUCCUUAUAAAAAAUUUCAUGUAGAUAAUUGUAGUUUGAAAAAGGUGGAGUUUCAUAAAAUAUAUAAUUUGUUUUAUACAUUAAGUUCCGAAGGAGUUGUAAAUUUAUUUUAUUCAAAAUUUUUUGACGAUUAUAUUACUAAUCCAGUUUUAUUACCAAUUAAUAAAGUAACAACUGAAUCAAAAAUAACUGAUAUA
Molecule: long non-coding RNA, 2145 nt
Organism: Piliocolobus tephrosceles (Ugandan red Colobus)
Lineage: Eukaryota; Metazoa; Chordata; Mammalia; Primates; Cercopithecidae
Source: Ensembl